This 468-nucleotide ribosomal RNA is filed under the name uncultured bacterium. RNAcentral describes it as "partial 16S ribosomal RNA". It matches the Rfam family "Bacterial small subunit ribosomal RNA", at positions 28 to 507 of the family's 1533-position model. The record is from RNAcentral.
GACGAACGCUGGCGGCGUGCUUAACACAUGCAAGUCGAACGGAAAGGCCCUGCUUUUGUGGGGUGCUCGAGUGGCGAACGGGUGAGUAACACGUGAGUAACCUGCCCUUGACUUUGGGAUAACUUCAGGAAACUGGGGCUAAUACCGGAUAGGAGCUCCUGCUGCAUGGUGGGGGUUGGAAAGUUUCGGCGGUUGGGGAUGGACUCGCGGCUUAUCAGCUUGUUGGUGGGGUAGUGGCUUACCAAGGCUUUGACGGGUAGCCGGCCUGAGAGGGUGACCGGCAACAGGGGGACUGAGCACAGCCCGGACCGCCGCGGGGGGGCGGAGGGGGGAAAGUUUGAACAGGGGGGGGAGGCUGGAGCCGACACCCCCGGGGGGGGAAGGCGGGCCUUGGGGUUGAAACCCCUUUGCGCUGGGGACGAGGGGGGAGGGAGGGAAGGGAAAAAAGAGCCCCCGCCAAACUACGUC